Molecule: ribosomal RNA, 951 nt
Filed under: Triticum aestivum (bread wheat)
Lineage: Eukaryota; Viridiplantae; Streptophyta; Magnoliopsida; Poales; Poaceae
Description: partial small subunit ribosomal RNA
Source: RNAcentral
AUGGAUUCCGACGUCGUCGCUAUCUCUCGAGAAUCAAACUCCUCAUCUGAUGCCAUCCGGCUCAUCGUACAGAGCAUCGACGGCAAGAUGAACGUGGUCGUGGCGGGUCCACAGGACACUUUAGGGGAGGUGCUCGGUCGCUUCGUGGACGUGGGACCCAGGAGGAGAAGUGACCUCCACGCCGUGCACGAGUGUCGGAACCUCCACCUUAAGGCGAAAAUCGGCGAGCUCGGCCUCCCGCGCGACGCCACUUUGCACUUAACCAGAUAUCCCGACGCAUGGAGCCUCGCAUAUCAGAUUGCCGCGGCGGCAACAACCGACGCGGACAUCUCUAACGAAACUGCCGAGUUGUUCAAGAGGUUCAUACACGACGGUGAAGUCCAAAUUGAUCCACUGGCGCGGCAUCUCGGUGUCCCCAACUGCUCACCGUGGACCGACUUUGAGCAUGUCACCAAGAUGCUUUACACCAGGGACAUCGUCCUGCUCGUCAAGAAGUUCCUCGCCGGUGCCAAAGCCACCAACGAGAGACAAGCAGGGACGGCCGUGGAGUACCUGGACGUCCUCCUGCGCAGCGGUGUCAUCGGGGUUCUGGUCCGCCUCUACUCCACCGGCUCUAUGCCGCAUCACUUAAGAGCCAAUUCGGCGAUCAUCUGCCUCCUGUAUCCGGAGAUAAGCGGCAUACUCCCUCGCCUUGAGGUGUGCUUUCUCCCACUCUUGUUGGAGUUCUGUCGGUUGAUACCCGUCGCCUCCGGCAAAGGCAGAAGCGACCCGCUCUACGAGAAGUGUAGGCACAGGCUGGCGGCAGUGCUCUCUUUGUUCGAGCGGACGCCGUCGCUACGCAUGCCGAAGAUGCCUCAAGAGUGGUUGAUCGAGCAGUUAAUACCAAUUGCCAAAGACGUGACGGACGUGGUCAUUCGCUACAUGGCAGCAGGGGUGGGCGGCCCCGGAUGA